Glossina brevipalpis is the source of this 73-nucleotide non-coding RNA. The record is from Rfam. NCBI's taxonomy places the organism in Eukaryota, Metazoa, Arthropoda, Insecta, Diptera, Glossinidae.
UUUAGUAUGUAGGCGCCAUGGAUGGCGAAUCGUGCAUGCUACUGGCACGGGCCGGUAGUAUCUAUGAAGAUUC